CAAAAAAACAAACUCUAAUUUUCGUGUCCAAUGUUUAACUGUCCGUUUUAUUUAAAAAAAAUAUGAAAAAAAUUAAAAAGAUAAGUCACGCAUAAAAUAUUCAUCAUGUUUUAUUAUCUAACAACAAUAAAAAUACUAAUUAUAAAAAAAUUUCAUAUAAGACGAACAGUCAAACGUUGGCACGUAAAUUCGCGGUUUGUCUUUUU
Molecule: microRNA precursor, 206 nt
Organism: Oryza rufipogon (brownbeard rice)
Lineage: Eukaryota; Viridiplantae; Streptophyta; Magnoliopsida; Poales; Poaceae
Rfam family: MIR812 microRNA precursor family
Source: Rfam